This 87-nucleotide non-coding RNA is filed under the name Loktanella atrilutea. RNAcentral's name for it is "Glycine sequence". It matches the Rfam family "Glycine riboswitch aptamer". From Rfam's summary of the family: This family represents the bacterial glycine riboswitch. Glycine riboswitches usually consist of two metabolite-binding aptamers domains with similar structures in tandem. The aptamers cooperatively bind glycine to regulate the expression of downstream genes. The record is from Rfam by way of RNAcentral. Lineage: Bacteria; Pseudomonadati; Pseudomonadota; Alphaproteobacteria; Rhodobacterales; Roseobacteraceae.
GACGCCAGUGCAGGAGAGUCCGGGUCCGCCCGGCGCCGAAGGAGCAACCCCCCGGAAACUCUCAGGCAAAAGGACUGCACGCCGGCG